Long non-coding RNA from Pogoniulus pusillus (Red-fronted tinkerbird), 1739 nucleotides. RefSeq lists it as uncharacterized. The transcript is spliced from 2 exons. NCBI's taxonomy places the organism in Eukaryota, Metazoa, Chordata, Aves, Piciformes, Lybiidae. The record is from RefSeq and is a predicted model, not a curated record.
CUGCUGCUUCUGUCCGGGGAAGGAGAAAUCCUGCCGAGGUGGCCGGGAGAAGCAACUCCUGUAGACAUUUGAAUCAAGCUGCGUUGUGCUGUUCCAGAGGUGCAGUGAAAGCAGAUCUUUCAACCCCAGCCCCAGUGUCACAACUUGUACUUCGCUGCCAAGCCACCUCCAUCCAGCUCCAUCCUGGAAAAAGGAGGUGACUCACAUCCCUGCUUUGUGCCAACUGAUGCUGGAGGUGCAUUAGCCAGUGGUGACCCAGCUGUGAGUCACUGCAACAUGGCCACUGUCUGCAACUUUCCAUUUCUUGGCCCUGUUAAUUUUGGGUCCAGUAAUUAUGAGGUGAGCUGUGAAUCACCCCUGUCUCGCUUUACACCAGGAGGAAACCAGGCAAAUUGUGCUAACGUGCUUGGCAGGAGGGAUUCUUGUUCUCUAGCAUUUUAUAGGCUUUGGCCCUUCUUGCUCCCCAGAGUGAUGCGAUGUGCUCACCCUUCCUCAUGUGCAACUGUCACACAGGAUCUGAGCAAGGGGCACAUGACCCAUUGGCACAUGACUCAUGCUCCCUCCAGCCAGGUUUCAUCUCGUGGGUAGGAAUUGAUGUUUCAAAAGACUUGGAGGGGACUCCCAAAGGGUCCUGAAAGCUUUUAUUGAUUUAGUUUGUGCAGUCUAUGCAGGCAGAUUUUAGACUGGAAAAUAGCUUCACGUGGGUAAGUCAGAAGGAGGCCAGACACCCGUGUUGACAUUGGCUUCCACUGCUGCUGGUCUUGAAAUGUUUCUGCCAUUCAGAAGAACGAGCGUGCCCUGGGGCUUGUUCUUCACUGUUUGUUAUGUGGUGUGGUGCACAGCAGCACAACUGCAUCAGAGACCUCCAGCAGAGCCACAGAGAGAUCACUGACUCUUUUGGAAAGGCUUUGGUGGUGAAUCAAGAGAAAAAUGUGCAGGACACUUCCACUUCUUGAUAAGGGACAGACCCUCUCACAGCACUAAACUCCCCAGCAAGCAGAGAUGUUCUUCUGCUGUUAAAUCCUAUCGCUCUGCUUCACCAUUUCAAUUCCCACCACCUGAACAGGACGGAUUCAUCUGUAGCCUUGUUUUACUGUCCUAUGCAGGGUUGGAUUUUUGCGCUUUCCUGCCUCUGCCAGUCUCUCCCCAGCUCAGCUUUACGAUUCAACAUGCCUAUUAAAAACUGGGCUGCAAAAACUUCCUCUCAGAUCGUUUUGCACCCAGGAAUCUCCAGGCCGGAAGGCAGUCACCUAGAGAUUGUGAAGCUGUCGAAGAAGGAUUGGAGGUGGAGGAACUGUAAAUCUACAGGCAUCUGAAAAGCACUGCUUUAAUUUAAGAGGAAUGUCCUUUUGUUCCCAAAUGGAUGGGCCUCAUUCCAAAGGCAUUCAGGUGCAGUAACUGUUACCAGAUGGGCUGUGAAAAGGAACUCAAACAGGUGGUGAAGACUACAGCCACGGACUUGAAUUUCCAUGUCAGCUUCUCCCUGUACCUUACAUGCCCCCUGGUGAACAGGAGGAUGAGGAGAGCUGUCACAGCUGGAACGGCUUUCAAGGGGGUAUUCUGCAACUGUACAUAGUAGGGCAAGCCCUCAGCUCUCAGUGGUGAGACUGUCAUCUGGGCCAGGGUGUGCAGUGCUUAACCAAAGGUCAAACACCUGUUGGGGAGGGGAAAUUAAUUGAUGCGAGAUGAUAUUUUCCAAAAUGAAUAUUGUUUAUUAAAGUCGCUGUUCAGAACUCUCA